This 456-nucleotide ribosomal RNA is filed under the name Abiotrophia defectiva. Its description in RNAcentral is "bacterial SSU rRNA". It matches the Rfam family "Bacterial small subunit ribosomal RNA", at positions 28 to 469 of the family's 1533-position model. Lineage: Bacteria; Bacillati; Bacillota; Bacilli; Lactobacillales; Aerococcaceae. The record is from RNAcentral.
GACGAACGCUGGCGGCGUGCCUAAUACAUGCAAGUCGAACGAACCGCGACUGAGUGCUUGCACUUGGUCAAGGUGAGUGGCGAACGGGUGAGUAACACGUGGGUAACCUACCUCAUAGUGGGGGAUAACAGUCGGAAACGACUGCUAAUACCGCAUAGGACAUGGGAUCACAUGAUUCUGUGAGGAAAGGUGGCGCAAGCUAUCGCUAAGAGAUGGACCCGCGGUGCAUUAGCUAGUUGGUAGGGUAAGGGCCUACCAAGGCGAUGAUGCAUAGCCGACCUGAGAGGGUGAUCGGCCACAUUGGGACUGAGACACGGCCCAAACUCCUACGGGAGGCAGCAGUAGGGAAUUCCGCAAUGGACGCAAGUCUGACGGAGCAACGCCGCGUGAGUGAAGAAGGUCUUCGGAUCGUAAAGCUCUGUUGUUAGAGAAGAACAGCGCAUAGAGUAACUGCUA